UGGCACCCUGUGAGGCAGCACAGCUCGCACGCCCCAAAGGGCCUACAGAGCUGUCUUAACUGUUUUAUAAACCCCUGGGCAAAGCAGUUCACUGGGGCCCUUCUUACACAACUACUCACAGAAAUAAAAAUGUAAUUAUCGGUAUCUCCAACAAAUGCAGUACAUAAAUACAAUACAUUCACAAACUGCUGAAUAUACACACAGACUCCUG
This is a non-coding RNA of Pelobates cultripes (western spadefoot toad), 211 nucleotides long. Lineage: Eukaryota; Metazoa; Chordata; Amphibia; Anura; Pelobatidae. The record is from the annotation of a GenBank genome assembly.